RNAcentral lists this ribosomal RNA (500 nucleotides) under uncultured Desulfovermiculus sp. RNAcentral describes it as "bacterial SSU rRNA". It matches the Rfam family "Bacterial small subunit ribosomal RNA", at positions 427 to 918 of the family's 1533-position model. The record is from RNAcentral. Lineage: Bacteria; Pseudomonadati; Thermodesulfobacteriota; Desulfovibrionia; Desulfovibrionales; Desulfohalobiaceae.
AAACCUCUGUCAGGAGGGAAGAAAAUGCUAAGGAUUAAGAGUUCUUAGUAUUGACCGUUCCUCCAGAGGAAGCGCCGUCCAACUCCGUUCCAGCAGCCGCGGUAAUACGGAGGGCGCAAGCCUUAUUCGGAAUUGCUUGGCGUAAAGCGCGCGUAGGCGGCAACGUAAGUCAGGUGUGAAAGCCCUCGGCUCUCCCGGGGAAUAGCACUUGAAACUGCGUAGCUGGAGUUCAGGAGAGGGUGGCGGAAUUCCCGGUGUAGGAGUGAAAUCCGUAGAGAUCGGGAGGAACCCCAGAGGCGAAGGCGGCCACCUGGCCUGAAACUGACGCUGAGGCGCGAAAGCGUGGGUAGCAAACAGGAUUAGAUACCCUGGUAGUCCACGCUGUAAACACUGGAUGCUAGAUGCGGGUGGCGUAGAAGUCAUUCGUGUCGCAGCUAACGCGUUAAGCAUCCCGCCUGGGGAGUACGCCGCAAGGCUGAAACUCAAAGGAAUUGACGGAA